This 30-nucleotide non-coding RNA is filed under the name Mus musculus (house mouse). The record is from RNAcentral. Lineage: Eukaryota; Metazoa; Chordata; Mammalia; Rodentia; Muridae.
UAGAUUGUUUUCCAGUAGCCAGUAGACCUC